UUCCCUAUGAAUUCUCUUGCAGCGUUCAGAAAAGAGCAAGGGCGAGGGGUCCUAGUAGAACAAGACUCAGUUGCUGUUUGUGCCCGACAGGACUGUGGUCAAGCCGAUCAAUCCAAUCCUCCCAUCCUUGCAGGGACGAACAUUUUGGAGACAAAUUCUUCACUGAAUGUAUUGUUUUAAAGUUCAUCUAGUCGAUUUUUUAUUUUUUUAGUGCUUACUAUGUGUUUGGGACUAGGCACCACCAUAGAUGAGCAAAACUCAAUCCAGAAGUUUACAGACAUUUAAAACAUCACAGGAAUUGAACUAAAACCCACAGAGUAAAAUGCACUGUGUGGUAUCAAGUGUAGCUGGGAGAUGCUUACUCGGAUUUCCCCAGUUCUAUUAACUGUUUCUGACACUUAGAAUUUCUAGGAACUGCCCGAAGGGAUGAUGUGUCACUCAGAUUAAUAACUGCAUCUUAUAUAAAUGAAAUACAUAUGGUCUAACUAAUUUUAUGCUCUGUCCCCUUCCUACCAGUUGCCACAGUGGACACUUCGGGGCACUGAGGUGAUGUAAACUGUGUCUCUAAGCUAUGUCUUCCGUGUAAUGGGUACACUUGGUAGUACCAUCAAGGUAUGCUGUAUAAUGUGCUAAGAGCAUCUUUGCUGGUCCUUAAAGUCAACAGUAAAUUGAGUAAUAAUAAUAAUAAUAAAACGACAGUGGCAUUAUUAAAAUAUUUUACUGAAAAAUUAAAAAGAAGCUUACCAUGUUCCUUUGAGACUGAAAACAUGUUUUAUUCCCAUCUUGCUGUUUUUACAAGAACACUGCCAAAGUUGAUGGCUCUGUGACUACCUUAAAAAAAAAAAAAGGUAAGCAUGCUUCCCAGCAAACAAGCAACUUUGUGCCUGGAGAAAAAAGACCCAGUUUAAAACAAACAUGCCAGUUUCUGUUGUAGCAAUUUGAGUGGGUUUAGUUUAUUAUUUAUGGCCCAGGUAGAAAAUGAAGGGGCACCAUACCUGACAACCUGUUGCUUCCCAAACAAAUCAUAAAGGCAGUUUGUAUGCAGAAGGCUGUAUGUCAAUGCUGGCUUCUGUCGAGUGUAAUGGUGAAUGACAUAUUUUCACAUGCUUUAGUUGUUCGGCUCAGAGGAACCCUAAACAAGAGUAGACUUGUUUUCUAAUUGGUCUACUGCAGAGCUCUGCUGACUCUGUAGUACUCCUUUCAGUUUCAAAUGAAAAAUUAAACAACAACAAAGCUAGGAAUCAUUUAAAAAUCCACUUUCUGUCUAUGCUCAUACUAACUUGCAUUUCUGUUCUCUGUUAAACACAGAUUUCCUCUGUCAUCCUUGUCCUAACCCACCACUUGCCAAGUACUACUACUAGACUCUUGAUGCACACAGUUCAGUGCCAGCUUGGUUUGUACACAUUCCGUGACUCAGUUCCAGGUCUCAGCUAACGACUUAAAAAUCAAUGCAGUUUCCCGGGAGUAUUCCUCCGUGAUUGAGACUGAUGGUAAAUUACAUAUGGAGCAGCGUAGCUCAGACAGCUAUGCCUUUCUUCCAAACAUCAUAAACUUUACCAAGAAUCACCAGUGUGGCUUACUCCUGUAAUCCCAGCUAAGGUACAGCAAUUUCCAUGGAUACAAGGAAAGCUGAGGCUAUAGAGUGACCACCUGUCUCAAAAGAUCCUGGGCUCAGGCCCUUCUCAGCCAACCUGAGCUUUAUGCUCCUCUUCCUCCUCUGUCUGCCUUCUACCUCCUUGAGCAGAGAUUCUUCUCAUCCUUCACAUUUCAUCCUGAGUAAAACCAGAAGACUCAACUGAUACCUUAAACAAUGGUAAGCCCCUUUAAAGCACACCACUGUGGUCUACAGUGCCUGUGCAUGGUUGCGUUUAGCAGCAGUGUGGUCACACUAAAUACUUAUUGAAAGUUUUCUCUAUGCUGAGACUUUCUCUAGGUGAAAAAAAUAAACCUACAAUGAUGAAAAUAAUUAGAAGUAUCCAGUCCUUGUGGGUCUUAUGGUCUUGUAGGUGGCAGUAGGGUGAGGCAUGGGGUGGCACCGAAUAAGGAAAUAAAUAUAAAUUAUAUGACAAAUCAACUGGUAAUAACAGCCACAUACAGAACAAGCACAUGAGGAGGAUUUAGGCAUGUUGGGAGUGGGCAUGUGGCUAUACUUUUAAAGGCUGAUCAUGGAAAGUAAAGUGUGUGUGUGUGUGUGUGUGUGUGUGUGUGUGUGUGUGUGUGUGUGUGUGUAGAUGCAUGUACAAGUGCAGCCUGUGAAUCUCCAAGAACUGGAGGAACAAGUGGUUGUGAGCCAGUCAGUGUGGGUGCUGGGAACGAAAACUGAGUCCUCUACAAGAGGACCUUUUAACUACUGAACCCUCUCUAGAUUUCCAGCUUCAGAAAUCUAUACAUUUUAAGAACACUGACAUACAUUCUUUGAUCUCUCUUUCCUUUGCUAGCGUCAAUACAGGCAAAGAUGCCACCUGUUGUUGAAAGAAUGAUCACUGCUAACUCUGCUUUCAGAGCCCACUUACUUUCCAGCCAGACACAUGGUAGCUUGCUGAAAAUGACUUGGCUGGUAAAAUCUGGCUUUCUUCCUCUGUUUUCUCUGUAGCAAUGUUUUCUGUAAUCCAUCACACAAAGGGGGAGUCUUCUCAGCGCGGACUUGUCCUCUAUAAGACCUAUCAGCAGGACACCAGCCAAGAAUUCCUAAGAGGAUGUACACUUGUCUGGAUCUUCCAAUGAUCUCUCCCCAGACCACAUGCCUGAGGACAUGUGCCUGCUGGGAAUGUUAGAACUCCUUGAGUUUUAACUGGGAUCAGAGUCUCUGCCCUGACCCCAGCUUGCUGCUCCCAUAAGAAACCCUUUGAAUGGGCGGGGCCAGAGUCCCGAGGGAAGGUAUGCUUGUAACUGUUACUAUGUAUUCAUCUUAGAAACAGUGCCAGAUAUGUUUAGCAUGAGGCAGUGUGUUUGAUUUCAAGAGGCUUGAAUGGAAAAUGAAAGCUGACUAAAAAGCCUGGAAGUGAAGAGCUUGGGCCCUUAGCAAUCUAAGAGGAGCAGGGCAAGAGGCCAUUAGUGCUCCGAAUGUGUUGGCAUUGAAAAGAACAGGGAAUCAGGCGUGGAUACCAACAGUGUUUAACAGAGGCAUGGCUAAAGAGUAGCUGGAUCAGGGUAGCAACUGGGGUUUAAAUUUUCCUUCUUAGAAUACAGACAUGAAAAGCAUCCUGGAGGUGAAUCAUGGGAGCUUGGCUGAUCGAAUUCCUUCCACUAGGGAAGCCAAGAUCUGAAGGACAAGCACAAUCCUUCUUCCCUAACACCCAUUAUAUCCUUCAAGUCCUAAAUUCACACAACUAAAAACAAAACUGUCCUCCUCCUACAUUUUGCAAGUGAUUCUUAUCUUACACUGAAAUAACUGUGUUUCCCUAUCUCCUUGCCAUUAAUUUUCCUUCCACUCUCCAUGAUGACCAGAUUGGGCUCCUAAAAAUAAUACUGCACAAACAUGACCUAGUUAUGUGUUUCUUUGCAUAGUUAUACCUACAUCUUGCAUAAACACACCAAUUUGCCACCCUUUUCUCUUAGAAACUCUCUUUUAACGUAGGAAUAAAACUUAAGUACUUUGAAAGAGUGCCUGUACUGGUUACUUUUUUUUUUGGCAACUUGACAUAAACCGGAGUACCUGGGAAGUGGGAAUUUCAGCUGAGGAAUUGUCUCCAGACUGGCCUGUGGACAUGUCUGCAGAGCAGUUUCUUAAUUGCUAAAUGAUAUAGGAGGGCUUAGCUCAUUGUGGGUGGUGCCACCCCUCAGCAGGUGGUACCAUGUUUUAUAGGAAAUGUAACUGAGUAAGACAGAGAAGGAAAGCCGGUAAGCAGUGUUCCUCCAUGGUUUCUGCUUCAGUUACUGCUUCCAGGUUACUUCUUGAGUUUCUGCCUUGGCUCAGCUUAAUGCUAGACUCUAGCCUGUAAGUCAAAUAUUUCCUUUCCUCCUCAAGUUGCUUUUGUUCAUGGCAUUUUUAUCAUAGCAAUAGGAUAGCAAGCUAGAAAAAUGCUAUGGUUUGGAAAUGUUCACCAAAAGCCUAGAGUAAGUGUGACGGGCCUAAAUCUCCUCUAGCAUGGUUAGGAGGUGAUGUAACCUUUAGGAGGAUCUAGUGGGAAGAAGUAGGGAACUUGCUCUUGAAGAGGACAUUAUGAUCCCACAAUUCUCUUUUCUUUUUCUAUUCUCAGGCCACCACCAGGUUAGCAUGUUUCUUGUGCUAUACGUUUUUGUCAUGAAGCACUGCCUUGCCACUCUCCCAAAAGUCAUGAGGCCAAACAACUAUGGCCUGAAGCCUCUGAAAUAAUAGCCAGCAUGAACCUUUCACAUUAUGGCUUGAUUUUUCUCAGGCAUUUCUUUUUUUAUGUUUGUUUUUCAAGAAAGUGUUUUUUUGUGUAGCUUUGGCUGUCCCAGACUAGCUCUGUAGACCAGGCUGGCCUUGAACUCAGAAAGACCCACCUGUAUUUGCCUCCUGAGUGUUGGGAUUAAAGGCGUGUGCCACAACUGCCUAGCUCAGUAUUUCUUAUAGUGACAAGACAAAACCAAAACCAAAAACCUAACUACCACCAAGUGGUCCCCAAAGUUUUCACCUGCUACUUCAAAAGUUACUUUCAGCCAUGCUUUUUCCAUUUCUCAAAAAUACACAAUUUCUUUCUAUACUGUGAAAAAUGGUCACAUUGGUGAUCCCUUAGGAAUUCUCCUUCAGUCGGUUCUUUUUAGCUCUAUGGUUUGUGGAAGGGCCCAGCCUGUCAGAACAGCUCAGUGAGCUGCUGCCAGGCACUUCACAGUUCUGAGGGAAGCAGAGAUUACCUGGUCUGUCAUUGGGCUUGUGUAGUUUGACAGCCUCAACAUUACAUGGUACGGCACUUUUAUUGGUGAUGUCACAUCUCCUUGAGAUUGUGUUUCCAGGAUUUAUGGUGGUAAAACAUGGCAGUGAAAAAUCUAAGUGAAAGAAACAAAGCUGCUGAUAUUCAACAAGACUGGGGUCUGAAGAAUUAAAGAGCACCAGCUGCCUUUUAGUACAUACACAUUACCAAGUGCCUGGCUACUUAAGGAUGAAGUAAAAAUACUGCUUCUAAUGUAUAUGCUCUACUUCUGAAACGGCUGUAGUUAAUUCCCACUAUUUGAUGUGGUUGUAUCCUGGGAACUCCCCAGGGAUUCUGAGAUCCUGAACACUAAACUGUGCCAUGGUUAUGAGAACAAGAUAGGCCAUUGGUCUCUCCAUUCCUUUUAGUUGUGGUUUGAAUUUAAGAUGUCUCCACAAACUUGUGUAUCUAAAUACUUAGUCAGCAGUGGAUUGUGAUGUUUGUGGAAGGCUGUGGAACUUUGAGGAGAUGAGGCCUCUCUGGAGGAAGGAGAUCUCUUGAGGAGAGGCUUUAGAGUCUAUCUCUCAGCUCCAAUUUCCACCUCUGAAAGUCUCUCUGAGCUUCUUGAUACACUGGCAUGUAGUAGACCAUGAUCUCUUCUCAAGUUUCAGUCAUCAAUGCUAGUAGACAUUUCCACCACCGUGCCUUCUCCUCCAUUACAGACUGUGUCCCCUUUAAACAAAGCCAAAGUAAAUCCUCCCUAGAGUUGCUUUUUGUCAAGUAUUUGGUGGUAGCAUUGAGAAAAGCAGUACACCUGGGAUAGGAAAUUGUGUUCUGUAUGUACUAAUGCUCACAGUCAUUGUUAAGAGUAAAUGCAAUUUGCAGAAUGAUAAAAGAGACUGGCAAUAUCCACACAUCAACAAAUAACAGAGAUCAUCCCUACAGAAAACAGACAAGAAGACUGAAUAAAGGCCUUAUGAAAAGAAGAUGUAAAAUGAACAAUUCUUGGUUUACUAUAGAUUUAAAAAAAUGUUAUCUGUUUUGUGAUCACUGCUGGUAUAUUAGUUGGCUUGAAUCAAUUUUAAAUGUGUUUUCAUAUCUUAUCUGGUUCAGCAUUGCCAAUGUAAAAGCAGUUUGUGUUCUCUGUGAAGAGUCUUGGGGCUUGAGCUCUCAGGAGUAGGUUGUUCACUAAGAAGAUCACUAAUAAAUGAGGAGACCUCUAAGUCAACAGACAUAUGAGCUGUAAGUCAGAAACAAAAGAAAGCCACAAAAUCAGGCAACAGAAUCCUUCCAAAAGAUCCUAACCCAUCAGCUUUGAGUCUGCAUGGACAAAUGUCUGAGGAAGAGUUCACAGGUUUAUAAGGAAAAGUUAUUAAUGACCCCAUAAACAACAACGUGGGUAAAGCAAGGGAAUGGAUUCAGGUCCUGGAGACAAAAUUCACAAACACAGGGAAGAAAAUUUCCAAAAUGGAUGAGUAAAUCAGCAUUAUGCAUGAAAAAUCUGGUAAGACAGAGAAAGAAAAUUCAGCAAGGAAUAUGAGACUUUUGAAAAAAAAAAAGAAAUGUCAGAAAUGAAGGCUCAGUUUAUCAAAUGAUAAACACAGUCAUACACCUGGCCAGGCAGACAUUUUUCAAGGACUAAGAAUGAGAUUGAGAAAAACUCAACUCAAACAUCAAUAAAGAAAAUACUAAGUAUGCCUAGAAUGUCUAAUAACAAUGAGAUAAUCAAGAAAUAAAACUUAUACAUUCACAUGGGAAGAAGAAAGGGUUCAUAUAGAGAGCAAAGGCAGAAUUUAUUUGAAAUUAUAGUAGAAAACUCCCCAAAUCUAGAGAAAGACAUUGAUAUUCAAACACAAGUAACAUUUAGAACCACAAAAAGGCAAAACUAGAGAAGGACCCUACCUCGGCACAGUGUCAAAAGUACAAAAUAAAGAAACAAGGUUAAAAGCUAUAAGGGAAAAGUGCUAAUUCACCUGCAAUGGAAGAAAUGUCAGAAUUACACCAGAUGGCUCAUUAGUAGGCUUAAAAACCAAGAAAGUGUGGAAAGAUGUAUUCCAAACCCUGAAAGUAAAUAACUGCCAAGUAAAGAUUACCAUACCUAGCAAAGUUUUCUUUUAAAAUUGAUGGAGAAAUGGACAAUUCCAAACUCAUAUGAAUUCAGCUCAUGACCACCAAUCCAUCACUGAAGGUAACAGUUGAAGGAAUGCUAUAUGCAGAAGAAAAAGGAUAGUGUCCAUCAAAAGAACACAGGAAAGGAUAACUUUCUAGAGAUGAAAAGAUGAGCAAAGGAAAAAAACAGAAAGAGAUCCAUUAUUUCCAACAUAGUAAAUUAGCAGCUAACCCAGUUAUGAAUGAGAGAGAAAGAAAAGAACAAAUAAUUCCCAAACAACCAGAGAUUGUUUAGAAGUUUCAUCUUAGAUUAAAACCUUCUACCUCAGUGGUAAACUCCUUAAGAUGCAGGGUGUUACAGGGGAGGCCAAACAAUGGAUGUUCUAAGGGAAGGUGAAACAUUCCACUUGCAAGGAAGCUUCUUAAUCUCAGGAAGCAAACAACUCAAAGGCUGAAGCCUUGAAAGGAAAUCCCCAAAAUGGACUAGAUUCACUAGGCUCCUCCUUCCUCAAGCAUACAUCUGCUGUAAGGACUUCUGAGAGACAGUCUUACACAAACUGAGCUGCCUAGAAAGAGUCUUAGACCAGCUGAGACACCUGGAAAAAGUGGAGCUCCAACAAUUGGCCUAGAACUAGCCACAGUACCUGGAAGAUGCUCAGAAGACCAAGUGAAGCACCUGGGCAGGGCAUUCUCUGACCUGUGAAGCUGCUGGAAGGUAGUACAGCGUGGUCCAGAUUUCUAGCAUUUAUUAACUGCCAUUAGUGCUAGGGUUGGCUUUGGUGAUACAUCUGUCUUUGAGGCAUUUUGGUUACUGCAAGUAACCACUCACUCAUGGUCCUGCAAAAUUUAUUGGUUCACCAUGGAUUGUGGUGAUACCUGUGGUGAUACAGAUACUUUGAUCUGUUGGAAGUUCCCUAUAUGGGAUGAGUAGUCAUUUGAUAAUGUCUCCUCAAGAAUAGUAUCAAAUAAUAAGACAAAAGCAAUAAAAUUAUAAGAAUUAGUAAACAUAUCCCAAUAAUAAUCUUAAAUAUAAAUGAUUUCAACUCACCAACAAAAAUGCACACUAGUUGACUAGUUAGCCUGGGAUCUGUGAGACUCUGUUUCAAAAAACAACAACAAAUCCAAGAUCUCAAGUAAGUAAUCUAAUAAUGCACUUCAGGGUCUUAGAAAAAUAACAGACUAAAUUCCAAGCAGUAGAUGUGAGGAUAAUAAAGAUUGAGGUAGAAAUCAAUGAAAUACAGAUGGAAAGAGCAAUAUAGAGAAUCAAAGAAUUAUUUGAAGAAAAAAAUGACAAGUUCUGCCCAGAUUAACCAAAAGAAAGAGAGGACUGCAUUUAAAACAAUUAGAGAUGAAACAGUGACUUUUCCAGCAAAGUCCAAUGAAAUUCAGAGGAUCUGAAUGAAUAACCAAGCCAUGUUUGAAAGAUAUUCAACAUCCUCAGCCAUCAGGAAUUCACAAAUUAAAACUCCCUGGAGAUUCCUCUUCAUUGGAGUUAGAAUGGGAGUGUAAACAGAUGUAGCCCCUGUGGAUGUCAAUGCGUAGGUUCCUCAAAUCUAAAAAUGGAACUUCAGUAUGAUCUAGCUAUGCCACUCCUGGGUAUAUUCCUAAGGAAUCUAAGUUAGCAUACCAUAGAUAAUUGCAUAUCCAUGUCAUUGUUGUAUUACUCACAAUAGCCAAGUCAUGGAAGCAGGGUAGAUUUGAAUCAGUAGAAGUAUGAAGUCAGAGAUGAUAGCACAUAUUCACAAUGGAAUUUUUUUCAAGUGUAAAAAAUUGAAGUCAUGACAUUUGAAGUAAAAUGGAUAGAACUGGAGAUCAUUAUGAUAAAUGAAGUAAGUCACAUUCAGCAGACAAAUAUCACUUUUUCUCUUAGCAAAAUCUAGAUUUAAGAUACACACACACACACACACACACACGGUAUGAAAAAGGCAUGGUGAGAGCAACAAAAAGGGUCUAAAAAGCAGAUAGGGUGAAAUUUCCGAAGAAUCAAUAAGCAAUACAUAUGAAAUAUACAAGUGAAAUCUGUAAUUACUCUGUAUGAUGAAAUAACUAAAAUUUCUUUAAGGACUGAUAAUAUCAAUAACUAAAACUGAGAAUUUUAAACAAUGUUAUUUUCAUUAUCCUGAGUUGAAUGCAUUGUGAAGCCCUUCAAACAUAAAGCAUAAAUAACAAGAUAGUAAUACAUUCAGUAUUUUUAAAAGACUCACUUUAUUUUAAUUAUGUGUAUGUGUAUGUCUUCAUGUGGGUAUUCCCACAUGAGUAGGGGUGCCUGCAGAGGCCAGAAGAGGGUGUCAGAUUCCCAAAGCUAAAGUUGCAGGAGGUUGUGAGGUGCCUGAUGAAGAUGUGAAAACCACAUCUGGGUCCUCUACAAGAGCAGCAAGUGCUCUUAACAAUUGGGCCAUCUCUCCAGCACCAUGUUUGAUCAUUUUAUAGUUUGCAUUUAAAUUUAUUUUGAGUUGUUAGGUGUGAGGUUAAAAUUGAGGAUCAUUUUUAAUCAUUUAAAAAUAUUUGAUGUUUAUGGAUUUUGCCUGUACAUAAAUGUCUUUGCACCAUAAUCCCCUGCAACUGGAGUUGCAGCCACCUGUGAGCCACCAUGUGGGUGGUGGGUGGUGGGAAUCCAUUCCAGGUCUCUGGAAGAAACACCAGUAUUUUUUAUUUCCUUCCCAACCUUAACAUCAUAUAGUAUUGGCCACUGCUGCUCUGUCUUAUGAUGGGGGUGAUCCUUCCUACCCCAUUAGGAAGUGGUAACUCUCAAGUCAUCCUUCAUUUUCAUCAGAAAUUCAGUUAUUUCAUGAAGUUUUGUUGUCUUUCCAAGUACAUUUUAGAAUCUUGUUUGAAUCUGCAAAGAUUAUCCCUGGGAAUUAAUAGGUUUUAUUUUUUGUUUUCUUCUCAUAUCCUUUUAAAAGGAAUUAACAUUUUUACUGCAUUAUUUCAAUUUGCAAAAGUAUAUGAUUUCACUAGAUACUUAUAGCUUCUUAAACUGUUUUCCUUGGCAUUUUGUGAUUUUCAACAUGCAACUCCUAUACAGGCGAUGCUAGAUUUAUCCCUAGGAAUUUCCUUCUUAAAAUAUCGGUUUCAGUGUGCUCCUUGCUAUUAUAUGGAAAUAAAAAUGAUUUCUGCAUACUAAUCUUGCAUCUUACAGCCUUACUGAAUUUACUUAUUCGAGAAGUUUUGGUGGAUACUUUUGGGUUCUCUAUGUUGAUCAUCAUGACACUGGUAAAUGUGGACAGUAUUUUCUAUUUCCUUAUAAUCUGUUCAUCUCUUUGCUGUAGCUAGAACUUUCAAUAGAAAGUAAAAUUGCUGUGCUCAUAACAGACAGCCGUGCUUUGCUUCCAAAGUUAAGAAUAAAACAUUCAGUUCUCACAAUGAAGUGUGAUAUCAGCAGUGGGUCUUUAAAAUGGUAUUUAUCCACCAAAGUAGAUGCCUCAGGGAAUGCCUGGUACUGUAAUCCUGGUGAAAGUCAACAGCUGUUGAGGCUGUAGGACCUAGGGUAGAACUGCUGUUGUUAUUUUACCAAGCAGCCAUGCUAUCAAAGUGCCUUCUAAAUAUUUGUGCUUGCACUCAACCAUGGUCACAGAAGCUUCUCUCUGCAGUGGACAGCAGAGUGUAAGUGGUCAAAGUGCUGAAACUAAGUGAUGGAGUGCUCAGCUUUCAAUGAGACAUCCAUGUUCACCCUACAACCACCACCACCACCAACAAGCCUCAGGGAACAUCAUGGAAGAAAGUCGUAAAGAACGUAAGAGCUGGGGGAUGAGUAGUGGUUUUGUGAGUGCUUUCUGCUGGACACGACAUGGCUAUUGCAAUCACGGACACGCAGCAGCUGGGUUUACUAGCACAAGACCUGUACAUGAUCAAGCCAGACAAAAGUCCCAACAUAGAUGAUGGGAUAGAUGAUCUGAAGGCCCCAUCCCUUAUUGAUGAAGUGUUAGCAGUGGAUAGGUGCUGGAGAAGAGAGAAUCAUGCUUUUUGAGGGUGAGGUCAUUAAUAGAUUUCCACUGUUCCAGUGAAUGCCCUACACCUGUGUAUAUAUGAAGAGCAGCAGCUGGACUAACGGGGUUAUCAAAAAACAAAAGCAAGUAAACAAAGAAGACAUGAAGAUGGGAAAGGGCAGGUUGGAAGGGAUAUGGGAG
Molecule: long non-coding RNA, 11050 nt
Organism: Peromyscus californicus insignis
Lineage: Eukaryota; Metazoa; Chordata; Mammalia; Rodentia; Cricetidae
Exons: 3
Source: RefSeq, a predicted model, not a curated record